CCACCAAAGUGUAACGCUACGAGCACGAUCCCCCAUCACCCAAUACACACUUAAACGUUUUGGUCCUAGACUUUUAAUUAUUUAAAAACAAGACUAUACAUGCAAGCCUCAGCACCCCAGUGAGAAAGCCUAUAGCACACCCGCAAACAGACUUAAGGCAUCAGGGACCUCACCCAAUGACGCCAAGCCCACGCCACACCCACAAGGGCAUGCAGCAGUAACUAACAUUUUAAAAUGGGCAAACCCAGCCCGACCAAGCAAUCGUUUGCCUAGAGCCGGCAAAUAUCUGUGCCAGCCGCCGCGGCUACACAGAACCGCUCAAAAUAACAACUCCGGCACAAAAAUGACUAAAAUCAAAUCUGCCAGCUAAAAACAGAACACAUACUGGAUCGUCAAACAACACCAACAAGAACACCUAGUUUUAGCCAAGGAAAUUUGACUCAUUAAAGUCGGAAUACAAACCAGGAUUAGACACCCUGUUAUGCCGAACCCUAACACCACCAUGCCAAAAAAGUACAAAAAAAUUUAAACUUAAAAGACCUGGCGGUGCCUAAAAUCACCCUAGAGGAGCCUGUUUUAUAAUCGAUAAUCCACGAUAAACCUCACCUGCUCUUGCACGUACUUUCAGCCUAUAUACCGCCGUCGACAACCCAUCUCUUUCAAGAGAUGAAGUAAGACAUUUAGAUUACCCCUAAAACGUCAGGUCAAGGUGUAGCUAAUGAGCAGGCAAAUUAUGAGCUACACUACUUCACAAGCACGGAACUAUACACUGAAACACCGUAAAAAAAGAAGGAUUUAGCAGUAAGAAAGAUAAGUGCGUCUCUCUGAACAAGACAUUUAGGCAUGCACACACCGCCCGUCACCCCCUUUAAACCUAAGAAGAGGCAAGUCGUAACAUGGUAAGCGUACCAGAAGGUGCGCUUGGAAG
This 928-nucleotide non-coding RNA is filed under the name Xenagama taylori. Lineage: Eukaryota; Metazoa; Chordata; Lepidosauria; Squamata; Agamidae. The record is from RNAcentral.